Molecule: ribosomal RNA, 484 nt
Filed under: uncultured bacterium
Lineage: Bacteria
Description: partial 16S ribosomal RNA
Rfam family: Bacterial small subunit ribosomal RNA
Source: RNAcentral
AUUGAACGCUGGCGGCAUGCCUAACACAUGCAAGUCGAGCGGUAGAGCGAAGCUUGCUUCCCUUGAGAGCGGCGGACGGGUGAGUAAGGCCUAGGAAUCUGCCUUGUAGUGGGGGAUAACGUUCGGUAACGGACGCUAAUACCGCACACGACCUACGGUAGAAAGCAGGGGACCUUCGGGCCUUGCGCGAUCAGAUGAGCCUAGGUCGGAUUAGCUAGUUGGUGGGGUAAUGUCUCACCAAGGCGACGAUCCGUAACUGGUCUGAGAGGAUGAUCAGUCACACUGGAACUGAGACACGGUCCAGACUCCUACGGGAGGCAGCAGUGGGGAAUAUUGCGCAAUGGGCGAAAGCCUGAUGCAGCAAUGCCGCGUGUGUGAAGAAGGUCUUCGGAUUGUAAAGCACUUUUAUUUGGGAGGAAGAGCAGUAAAUUAAUACAUUGCUGUUUUGACGGUACCGACAGAAUAAGCACCGGCUAACUCUGUG